This 502-nucleotide ribosomal RNA is filed under the name uncultured bacterium. RNAcentral describes it as "partial 16S ribosomal RNA". It matches the Rfam family "Bacterial small subunit ribosomal RNA", at positions 28 to 523 of the family's 1533-position model. The record is from RNAcentral.
GAUGAACGCUAGCGGCAGGCCUAACACAUGCAAGUCGAGGGGCAGCACAGAAACAGCAAUGUUUUGGUGGAGACCGGCGGACGGGUGCGUAACGCGUAUGCAACCUACCUUUAACAGGGGGAUAACGGAGAGAAAUUUCCACUAAUACCCCAUAACAUCGAUCAAGGCAUCUUGAUUGGUUGAAAACUCCGGUGGUUAAAGAUGGGCAUGCGUUGUAUUAGGUAGUUGGUGAGGUAAUGGCUCACCAAGCCUACGAUACAUAGGGGGACGGAGAGGUUAGACCCCCACACUGGUACUGAGACACGGACCAGACUCCUGCGGGAGGCAGCAGUGAGGAAUAUUGGUCAAUGGGGGCAACCCUGAACCAGCCAUGCCGCGUGCAGGAAGACGGCUCUAUGAGUUGUAAACUGCUUUUAAACAGGGAUAAAGCACAGUAUGUAUACUGUGUUGAAGGUACUGUAAGAAUAAGGAUCGGCUAACUCCGUGCCAGCCGCCGCGGUAA